GGGUAGUUUGACUGGGGCGGUCUCCUCCUAAAGAGUAACGGAGGAGCACGAAGGUUGGCUAAUCCUGGUCGGACAUCAGGAGGUUAGUGCAAUGGCAUAAGCCAGCUUGACUGCGAGCGUGACGGCGCGAGCAGGUGCGAAAGCAGGUCAUAGUGAUCCGGUGGUUCUGAAUGGAAGGGCCAUCGCUCAACGGAUAAAAGGUACUCCGGGGAUAACAGGCUGAUACCGCCCAAGAGUUCAUAUCGACGGCGGUGUUUGGCACCUCGAUGUCGGCUCAUCACAUCCUGGGGCUGAAGUAGGUCCCAAGGGUAUGGCUGUUCGCCAUUUAAAGUGGUACGCGAGCUGGGUUUAGAACGUCGUGAGACAGUUCGGUCCCUAUCUGCCGUGGGCGCUGGAGAACUGAGGGGGGCUGCUCCUAGUACGAGAGGACCGGAGUGGACGCAUCACUGGUGUUCGGGUUGUCAUGCCAAUGGCACUGCCCGGUAGCUAAAUGCGGAAGAGAUAAGUGCUGAAAGCAUCUAAGCACGAAACUUGCCCCGAGAUGAGUUCUCCCUGAGACUUAGAGUCUCCUGAAGGAACGUUGAAGACGACGACGUUGAUAGGCCGGGUGUGUAAGCGCAGCGAUGCGUUGAGCUAACCGGUACUAAUGAACCGUGAGGCUUAACCUUACA
Molecule: ribosomal RNA, 671 nt
Filed under: Salmonella enterica
Lineage: Bacteria; Pseudomonadati; Pseudomonadota; Gammaproteobacteria; Enterobacterales; Enterobacteriaceae
Description: partial 23S ribosomal RNA
Rfam family: Bacterial large subunit ribosomal RNA
Source: RNAcentral